Hibiscus syriacus is the source of this 873-nucleotide RNA transcript. It is a transcript of the gene named U4/U6.U5 small nuclear ribonucleoprotein 27 kDa protein-like, with no coding region annotated. The transcript has 3 exons. The record is from RefSeq and is a predicted model, not a curated record. Lineage: Eukaryota; Viridiplantae; Streptophyta; Magnoliopsida; Malvales; Malvaceae.
CACCAAUAAACUCAACCCUAGUUUAAGUUAUUUUGUUCUAGUUGGAAAAAUCACUGGGUUCUCCCGUUAUUCUAAUUCCCUUCGCUCACUGGGCGCCAUCCCUUCCUUCAACCACCACCAUCCUCUGCAAUGUCAGACCGACGCGAGAGGGACCGAGACCGAGACCGAGACCGUGACCGCGAUAGAGAACGCAGACGAGACCGAGAUAUUCGCGAUCGAGACCGGGACCGAGACAGAGAGCGAGUCAGGGAACGGACGCGCAGCAAGAGAUCUCGAACACCAGAGCGGACCCGAUCUCGUCACACACGCUCUUCUACGCGUUCCCCUGACCGUGAACGCCGUUCACAUUCCCGUUCUCAUACGCGCUCCCCGGAACGCGCUUCCCACCGUCAUCCCCGGCACCGAACACCAUCGAACGAGCCCCCUAGGAAACGUCACCGCCACGAAAGCGAGGAAAGGGAGAAGGAUAGGCAAAAGGCCGUGUCGGAUUUUGUGGACGAUACAGCUAGAGAGAAGCAGCAAAAGAAAGGAACCAUUAAUAAUGAGAAUGAGAAUGGGGAUGUGGAUGCAGGAGAGGAGAAUGAGAUGGAGAUGAUGAAGAAGUUAGGGAUUCCAGUUGGUUUUGAUUCCACCAAAGGGAAACAUGUACCUGGAGCUGAUAUCAGUGGAGUUAGGGCUGUGACUAAGCGGCAGCCCAGGCAGUAUAUGAAUCGAAGAGGCGGGUUUAAUCGUCCGUUGCCUGCCGAGCGCAACCGCUAGAAUGGAUUAGUGGAUGAAAGCAUUUUCAAGGGUAGUCGUCUUCCUAGAACUGGGAUUGGUCAUCCAUUUUGAGUGCUUAUGGCAUGAAAAACAAGGCCUAUUUGAUGAUGUUUG